This 89-nucleotide ribosomal RNA is filed under the name Haemophilus influenzae. The record is from RNAcentral. Lineage: Bacteria; Pseudomonadati; Pseudomonadota; Gammaproteobacteria; Pasteurellales; Pasteurellaceae.
CCUGGCGGCGAUAGUGCGGUGGACCCACCUGAGACCAUACCGAACUCAGAAGUGAAACGCUGUAAUGCCGAUGGUAGUGUGGGGUUUCC